Molecule: non-coding RNA, 215 nt
Organism: Pelobates cultripes (western spadefoot toad)
Lineage: Eukaryota; Metazoa; Chordata; Amphibia; Anura; Pelobatidae
Source: the annotation of a GenBank genome assembly
CUGCCUUUAAUUGCUCAUUAGAUACCUUCUUCAGGGAAGCCUUCAACUCAACUCCGUAACCAAUGCAUUCCAUUUACCCAAUAUUUGCCCUUAUCUCACUCUGUAUUAGCAUAAUUCUCACGCUCGCAGUCCCCACUUCCCCAUCCACCUAGAUUGUAAAUUCCCAUGGGAUUAGGGCCCAUAAAUCCUGCUGUUUUUGUUUGUGAACCUUUUUG